Molecule: long non-coding RNA, 450 nt
Organism: Cyanistes caeruleus (blue tit)
Lineage: Eukaryota; Metazoa; Chordata; Aves; Passeriformes; Paridae
Source: RefSeq, a predicted model, not a curated record
GCACAUCCUGCCUGGGGCCCGUCCAGGCACAUUGCUGGGGCUUGAGCACUUCUGCCUGCCUCUGUCAUCUCCUGCUUGAUGCAGAAGAUGCUGGGCUGAAAUGGCUGCUGGAGCCCUACAUAUGGAUGGACCCCACAGAACCACACAACUUUGCAGGGGAUCACACUGGACUCCUGGCGCUUACCCAGGAGUCUGUUAUCUGGCAGUGCUGAGGCAAGAGAGAUGGCCUGAUGGUUGUGGUUGUGGAAACUCAGUUGCACAGAAAAGCUUGACGGAAAGAGCAAGAUUCUCUCACACUUCCUAACAGCUCAAAAUAGCUGAUAAAUUCUCCAAACCCAAAGUCUGUCACGUUAAAAGUUUUUCCUCAUGUGGUGUGGGUCUGUGGAAGCAAUGAAAACAGAGGAUCUGACCUGGAUAGAUAAUAUGGGAAAGGUAAGGAGCAAGGAGAGG